UAGGGAAUAUUGCGCAAUGGGGGAAACCCUGACGCAGCAACUCCACGUGUGGGAAGAAGCAUUUCGGUGUGUAAACCACUGUCGAUAGGGAAUAAACUUGGCAUUCGUGCCAAUUGAAUGUACCUGUAAAGGAAGCACCGGCAAACUUCGUGCCAGCAGCCGCGGUAAUACGAGGGGUGCAAGCGUUGUUCGGAAUCACUGGGCGUAAAGGGAGCGUAGGCGGAACUCCAAGUCGGUCGUACAAUGCCAGGGCCUAACCCUGGACCUGCGGUCGAUACUGGGGCUCUUGAGUUAGUUAGAGGCAGGCGGAAUUCCAGGUGUAGCGGUGGAAUGCGUAGAGAUCUGGAAGAACACCAAUGGCGAAGGCAGCCUGCUGGGAAUUAACUGACGCUGAGGCUCGAAAGUGUGGGUAGCAAACA
This 419-nucleotide ribosomal RNA is filed under the name uncultured prokaryote. RNAcentral's name for it is "bacterial SSU rRNA". It matches the Rfam family "Bacterial small subunit ribosomal RNA", at positions 355 to 774 of the family's 1533-position model. The record is from RNAcentral.